AGUGGGGAAUAUUGCGCAAUGGGGGCAACCCUGACGCAGCCAUGCCGCGUGUGUGAAGAAGGCCUUCGGGUUGUAAAGCACUUUCAAUGGGGAAGAAAAGCGUAGCGUUAAUAGCGUUGCGCCGUGACGUUACCCAUAGAAGAAGCACCGGCUAACUCCGUGCCAGCAGCCGCGGUAAUACGGAGGGUGCGAGCGUUAAUCGGAAUUACUGGGCGUAAAGCGCGCGUAGGCGGUUUGUUAAGUCAGCUGUGAAAGCCCCGGGCUUAACCUGGGAACUGCAGUUGAUACUGGCCGACUAGAGUACGAGAGAGGGAGGUAGAAUUCCAUGUGUAGCGGUGAAAUGCGUAGAUAUAUGGAGGAAUACCGGUGGCGAAGGCGGCCUCCUGGCUCGAUACUGACGCUGAGGUGCGAAAGCGUGGGGAUCAAA
This 427-nucleotide ribosomal RNA is filed under the name uncultured Halieaceae bacterium. RNAcentral's name for it is "bacterial SSU rRNA". It matches the Rfam family "Bacterial small subunit ribosomal RNA", at positions 353 to 772 of the family's 1533-position model. Lineage: Bacteria; Pseudomonadati; Pseudomonadota; Gammaproteobacteria; Cellvibrionales; Halieaceae. The record is from RNAcentral.